CUAAUACCGCAUACGAUCUACGGAUGAAAGUGGGGGACCUUCGGGCCUCAUGCUUUUGGAGCGGCCGAUAUCUGAUUAGCUAGUUGGUGAGGUAAAGGCUCACCAAGGCGACGAUCAGUAGCUGGUCUGAGAGGACGACCAGCCACACUGGAACUGAGACACGGUCCAGACUCCUACGGGAGGCAGCAGUGGGGAAUUUUGGACAAUGGGCGCAAGCCUGAUCCAGCAAUGCCGCGUGAGUGAAGAAGGCCUUCGGGUUGUAAAGCUCUUUUGUCAGGGAAGAAACGGUUCCGGCUAAUAUCCGGGACUAAUGACGGUACCUGAAGAAUAAGCACCGGCUAACUACGUGCCAGCAGCCGCGGUAAUACGUAGGGUGCAAGCGUUAAUCGGAAUUACUGGGCGUAAAGCGUGCGCAGGCGGUUUUGUAAGUCUGAUGUGAAAGCCCCGGGCUCAACCUGGGAAUUGCAUUGGAGACUGCAAGGCUUGAAUCUGGCAGAGGGGGGUAGAAUUCCACGUGUAGCAGUGAAAUGCGUAGAGAUGUGGAGGAACACCGAUGGCGAAGGCAGCCCCCUGGGUCAAGAUUGACGCUCAUGCACGAAAGCGUGGGGAGCAAACAGGAUUAGAUACCCUGGUAGUCCACGCCCUAAACGAUGUCUACUAGUUGUCGGGUUUUAAUUAACUUGGUAACGCAGCUAACGCGUGAAGUAGACCGCCUGGGGAGUACGGUCGCAAGAUUAAAACUCAAAGGAAUUGACGGGGACCCGCACAAGCGGUGGAUGAUGUGGAUUAAUUCGAUGCAACGCGAAAAACCUUACCUACCCUUGACAUGGAAGGAAUCC
This 839-nucleotide ribosomal RNA is filed under the name Massilia timonae. Its description in RNAcentral is "bacterial SSU rRNA". It matches the Rfam family "Bacterial small subunit ribosomal RNA", at positions 163 to 998 of the family's 1533-position model. Lineage: Bacteria; Pseudomonadati; Pseudomonadota; Betaproteobacteria; Burkholderiales; Oxalobacteraceae. The record is from RNAcentral.